AGGAUGAACGCUGGCGGCGUGCCUAAGACAUGCAAGUCGAGUGGGUUUAGACCCACGGCGAACGGGUGAGUAAUACCUAGGAACUUUCUUUAAGUGGAGCAUAACCCAUAGAAAUGUGGGACAAUUCUCCAUGUGGCAGUAAUGCUAAAGUCGCAAGACGCUUAAAGUGAGGCCUGGGCACCAUCAGCUAGUUGGUAAGGUAAUGGCUUACCAAGGCUAUGACGGUUAGGGGUCCCGAGAGGGAUAACCCCCCACACUGGAACUGCGACACGGUCCAGACUCCUACGGGAGGCAGCAGUUUGGAAUUUUGGACAAUGGGCGAAAGCCUGAUCCAGCGACGCCGCGUGGACGAUGAAGGCCUUCGGGUCGUAAAGUCCUUUUGCUCGGGAACAAUAUUUUGAGCGUACCGAGAGAAUAGAGGUUGCUAACUCUGUGCCAGCAGCCGC
This 446-nucleotide ribosomal RNA is filed under the name uncultured bacterium. RNAcentral's name for it is "SSU rRNA". It matches the Rfam family "Bacterial small subunit ribosomal RNA", at positions 26 to 518 of the family's 1533-position model. The record is from RNAcentral.